AAGUCGUAACAAGGUUUCCGUAGGUGAACCUGCGGAAGGAUCAUUAUUGAAUUAUAAGGCUCUGAUUGUGCUGGCCUCUCGGGGCAUGUGCACGUCUCUGCCCGUUAAUCCCAACCCACCCCUGUGAACCGACCGUGUGGGGAAGCUCUGUAACGGAGCCGACUCAUGCUUUAUCAUAAACCCUGUAUGUCAUCAGAAUGUAAAUCUAUAUCCUCGCCUUAAAACCGCGUCGGUAAAAAAAAUUAAUACAACUUUCAACAACGGAUCUCUUGGCUCUG
RNAcentral lists this unclassified non-coding RNA (278 nucleotides) under air metagenome. Its description in RNAcentral is "partial contains small subunit ribosomal RNA, internal transcribed spacer 1, and 5.8S ribosomal RNA". The stretch from base 1 to 46 matches the Rfam family "Eukaryotic small subunit ribosomal RNA", at positions 1786 to 1831 of the family's 1831-position model. The record is from RNAcentral.